CCGACGACGUCUCUUCAAACCUCCCAAGCGAUCGAGCCUCCACAACACUCCCAAGUUUUUAUGACGGAUAAGCCCCCACCAGCGUCGACCGGAUUCUUCGCGACGGACGGACUCCACCCAAAUUUCCACGAUGAUCGACCAUCCUCUAGACUUCGCCCGAACUCCUACGGGAGCCGGACCUCAUCCCCAACUUCGACUGCAGGCAGACUUCGUCCGGACUCCUACGGGAGCCAGACUCCGCCCACAACUCC
RNAcentral lists this long non-coding RNA (251 nucleotides) under Elaeis guineensis (African oil palm). RNAcentral's name for it is "long non-coding RNA (EGUI_LNC075111)". The record is from RNAcentral. Lineage: Eukaryota; Viridiplantae; Streptophyta; Magnoliopsida; Arecales; Arecaceae.